Vespula vulgaris is the source of this 1102-nucleotide long non-coding RNA. RefSeq lists it as uncharacterized. The transcript is spliced from 2 exons. Lineage: Eukaryota; Metazoa; Arthropoda; Insecta; Hymenoptera; Vespidae. The record is from RefSeq and is a predicted model, not a curated record.
UUCUAAAUAUAUAUGUAUCAUAUAAAACGUAAUAUGUACCUACUUAAAAAAAAUUAUCAACUCUUGUGGAAGAAAACGUUGAAUUAUUGAUUCAGAAAAAGAGGGAGGGAGAGAGAAAGAGAGAUUAAGAGAGAGAAAGAAAAAAAAGGAAAAAAAAGAGAGAGAGAGAGAAAUAUCGAAAGAUCGAUAAACACGGCUCGAAUAAUUUUUAUCCGAGAAUUAAUAUAAUGAUCGAUAACCCAGUUUAGAUUCCGGACACUUCACUACGAGAGUCAAGAGCGUUAUACUGCGCAGGACAGAACUACGUGGUAAGCUUCUUAUUUAAGAAAAUUUUAUCUAAAUAAAAAGAUAUGACGAAAAUAAAAAAAAAGAAAGAAAGAAAGAAAAAGGAAAAAAAAAGGGAGAGAAAGAAAAAUCUCAUAAACAAAUAUUGCUAUAAUUAAUAAAACGAAUAUAAGCAACGAGUAUAUGCAUGUGUCGUAUAUGUGUAUAUAUGUGUAUACCAGUACGUAUGUAUGCGUGUGUGUGUUUGGGUAAUAUAAAAAAAUAAGAAUUUCUAAAAGAAAGUAUUAUUGAUUUCCAUGGUGUGAAGGAGUCGAAUAGAUGUCAGGUCGAUAAGAUAUGGGUGGUAAGUGAAACUAAGCACAAGAAAAAAAGAAAAAGAAUAUUGUAAAUAACACAUUAAGAAGAUAUUUUCUCUUUAAUAACACCAUGACCUCGUCGUGUGUUCCUUUUUCUAUAUGCUCGUAUAUGUUAUGUACGUGUAACGGACGAGUCAAAGUACGCGCGGUGGAACAGGAACGACCGGAAUCGCAGCAGCUGAAUCGACCGACCCUCUUCUCUUGUCUCCAUCAUGGUAAAGCGCGAAGGUUCUUUAAAAAUGGCGUCCAUCGGUCUUUUUGCAUGCACGAGGACGGCUAAUAGAGCAGUCGCAGAAUUUUCCGUUAGACGUCACGCUGCACUUUGUCCCGAAUGAUCGAAAAGAAGGAAAAAAAAAGGAUGACAAUGAGGAUAACGAUGAUCGAUAAUUAUGAACGACUAGAGACAAAAUCUGUGACAAAUGAAAAAAAAAAAGAAAUAUACAUAUACAUACACAUGUGAA